AGGACGAACGCUUGCGGCGUACCUAAGAAAUGCAAGUCGAGCGGGGGCAGCAAUGCCCUAGCGGCGAACGGUCGCGUAACACGUAGGCAACCUGCCCGAAAGACCGGGACAACGUUCCGAAAGGGGCGCUAAUACCGGAUGUGGCCGGAGGGAGACAUCUUCCUCCGUCUAAAUCAUUCAUGGCUUUCGGAGGGGCCUGCGGCCUAUCAGCUAGAUGGCGGGGUAACGGCUCACCAUGGCGACGACGGGUAGCUGGUCUGAGAGGAUGGUCAGCCGGACUGGGACUGAGAUACGGCCCAGACUCCUACGGGGGGCAGCAAUUAGGAAUCUUGCGCAAUGGGGGAAACCCUGACGCAGCGACGCCGCGUGGAGGAGGAAGGCCUUCGGGUUGUAAACUCCUUUGACCGGAAGAAAAAUGACGGUACGGUGGAAUAAGCCCGGCUAACUCCGUGCCAGCAGCCGC
This 463-nucleotide ribosomal RNA is filed under the name uncultured bacterium. RNAcentral's name for it is "SSU rRNA". It matches the Rfam family "Bacterial small subunit ribosomal RNA", at positions 26 to 518 of the family's 1533-position model. The record is from RNAcentral.